UAGGCCAUCUCUAAGGUCUUCUCCAGAUCAAUGUUCUCUUUGAACAUCAGGUAGAGAGAGUGGUUUUUAGGUUGUUGGCAACUGAAUUCUGUAUUAGUUACAGAAUGCCAUGACAUACUGGCUCCCAAAAUAGCUUGGUAGCUGGUUAAAGAGCCCGUGGCAGGAUCCAACACACACCUGGCUUUGAACCUGAGUCCUGUGGAUACAAUCUGUCUUCCCCUUCCAUUGCAUCCUUUAUUGGAUCACAAAGGAACUGAAGAACUAGGGCUGGUGUUUCUCCAGUGUUUUUUGGCUGCUGAAUGCCCUACCUACCUCCUUAACACCUUUCUGGACCCACUUCAGCAUUUCAGAGGAUUCCAGUGCCAGUUCUACUCCAAAGAAAGUGCAACUGACUCUAGGAGGAAUUUGAACAAAGAAAGUUUCCUUCUUUGGUGAGCGCUUGGUAGAAGAGAAGACGGGAAAGGCUGGAAACCAUUGGUCUUCCCUUCCAUCAGCACUUCUGAAAAAGAGGAAGCAGAGAUGUUAAUUAAAUACCUACCAUGGUGCCAGGAACUUACUAGAUGCUGGAGAUACCAAGAUGAACAAGGCCCUGAACCUUGAAGGACUUACAAUCU
This is a long non-coding RNA of Hipposideros armiger (great roundleaf bat), 614 nucleotides long. RefSeq lists it as uncharacterized. The record is from RefSeq and is a predicted model, not a curated record. NCBI's taxonomy places the organism in Eukaryota, Metazoa, Chordata, Mammalia, Chiroptera, Hipposideridae. The transcript has 3 exons.